AUUGGACACAUCGUUGCUUACU
Molecule: non-coding RNA, 22 nt
Filed under: Arabidopsis thaliana (thale cress)
Lineage: Eukaryota; Viridiplantae; Streptophyta; Magnoliopsida; Brassicales; Brassicaceae
Source: RNAcentral